Molecule: small RNA, 536 nt
Filed under: Caenorhabditis elegans
Lineage: Eukaryota; Metazoa; Nematoda; Chromadorea; Rhabditida; Rhabditidae
Description: Unclassified non-coding RNA Y37E3.31
Source: RNAcentral
GAGAAAUCAAACUCGGAUGUUUUGGCAUCGGAAGCGCCGGAAAAACCACAUUUUUGAAAGUUCUCAAGGGAGGUAAGCAAGUGCGCUCCGUCGCUCAAUCCGAAAUUAUUUUAAAAUUUGAAUUUAAUCCAGAAGAUCCGCGGGAUUUGCUCCGUACCAACGGGUUCUCCACAGUGAAAAUGGAGUAUGAUGAGACUUUUCAUUUGACGAUCUACGAUGUUGGCGGGGAUAAGGGAAUACGUGGAAUUUGGAGCAAUUAUUAUGCUGAGGUGUGUGUGUGUGUGUGCAUGCGAUAGGGCGCACUUUCACACUGGAGAAUUUUUGAAAACUCUUAUUACACGUGGAUCUACAAAAAAUGCGGGACUGAUUUCGCAUGGUUAAGAGCGUUUUGACGUCACAUUUUUUUGGGAGAAAAAUUCCCGCAUUUUUGUAGAUCAAACCGUGAUUAUUAUAAUUAUUCUAAAUAAAUUAAGGUUCACGGAAUCAUCUAUGUGAUUGAUUAUUCAACGGAUGAGACAUUCACCGAGUCGAUUGAG